RNAcentral lists this ribosomal RNA (513 nucleotides) under uncultured bacterium. RNAcentral describes it as "partial 16S ribosomal RNA". It matches the Rfam family "Bacterial small subunit ribosomal RNA", at positions 28 to 523 of the family's 1533-position model. The record is from RNAcentral.
GAUGAACGCUGGCGGCGUGCCUAAUACAUGCAAGUCGAGCGAACAGAUGAAGUGCUUGCACUUCUGACGUUAGCGGCGAACGGGUGAGUAACACGUAAGGAAUCUACCUAUAAGCGGGGGAUAACAUUCGGAAACGGGUGCUAAUACCGCAUAAUAUCUUCUUCCGCAUGGAAGAAGAUUGAAAGACGGCUCUGCUGUCACUUAUAGAUGACCUUGCGGUGCAUUAGUUAGUUGGUGGGGUAAUGGCCUACCAAGACGAUGAUGCAUAGCCGACCUGAGAGGGUGAUCGGCCAAAUUGGGACUGAGACACGGCCCAAACUCCUACGGGAGGCAGCAGUAGGGAAUCUUCCGCAAUGGGCGAAAGCCUGACGGAGCAAUGCCGCGUGAGUGAAGAAGGCCUUCGGGUCGUAAAACUCUGUUAUAAGAGAAGAACAAAUUGUAGAGUAACGGCUACAGUCUUGACGGUAUCUUAUCAGAAAGCCACGGCUAACUACGUGCCAGCAGCCGCGGUAA